RNAcentral lists this ribosomal RNA (505 nucleotides) under uncultured bacterium. Its description in RNAcentral is "partial 16S ribosomal RNA". It matches the Rfam family "Bacterial small subunit ribosomal RNA", at positions 28 to 507 of the family's 1533-position model. The record is from RNAcentral.
GACGAACGCUGGCGGCGUGCCUAAUACAUGCAAGUCGAACGCACAGUUUAUACCGUAGCUUGCUCCACCAUAGACUGUGAGUUGCGAACGGGUGAGUAACGCGUAGGUAACCUGCCUGGUAGCGGGGGAUAACUAUUGGAAACGAUGGCUAAUACCGCAUAAUAUUAAUUAUUGCAUGAUAAUUAAUUGAAAGGUGCAAUUGCACCACUACCAGAUGGACCUGCGUUGUAUUAGCUAGUAGGUGAGGUAACGGCUCACCUAGGCGACGAUACAUAGCCGACCUGAGAGGGUGAUCGGCCACACUGGGACUGAGACACGGCCCAGACUCCUACGGGAGGCAGCAGUAGGGAAUCUUCGGCAAUGGACGAAAGUCUGACCGAGCAACGCCGCGUGAGUGAAGAAGGGUUUCGGAUCGUAAAGCUCUGUUGUAAGAGAAGAACGGGUGUGAGAGUGGAAAGUUCACACUGUGACGGUAGCUUACCAGAAAGGGACGGCUAACUACGUG